UUAGUGUUUGGCGUGUAUUCAAAUGCACGUUUUCUGUCACGUAGAUAAUUAAUGAAUAUUUAAGGCAAUCCGCCCUUGAGUAUUUAUUUAUUUUUAUUUAUGUAGGACAUUGAUGUUAAAUCGUAUAAGUGUGAGCUAUAAUGCAUUAAAUCAUGAGAUUAUUUCAUAUGAGAAUAAUGUUUGAUAUGUAUUGUACCUGAGGGUUUUACAGGUCCAAAUGGCCAAGAUAAUUAUUACAGCCCACCAUUUUCAUUAACAAUAUUAUUUAAUCAGUAUCCAGUAUUCUGAGGCAGUAUGAAUAUACAUGAAGAUGGUGACAAUAAUGUGCAACAAAAUUAUGUAAAAAGUGUUUCAGUAGAAUAGAGAAAGUAAGAAAGAAUCAAAAACACCAUGUCAUAUGAACAUGGUCCCAAACAUUAGUACUGGUAACAACAUAGUGUGAAAACAUGGCGGAU
Molecule: long non-coding RNA, 455 nt
Organism: Bacillus rossius redtenbacheri
Lineage: Eukaryota; Metazoa; Arthropoda; Insecta; Phasmatodea; Bacillidae
Exons: 3
Source: RefSeq, a predicted model, not a curated record